CUUGAACUUUAUAAGAGGUCCAGCCUGCCCAGUGACUCUGUUCAACGGCCGCGGUAUCCUAACCGUGCGAAGGUAGCGUAAUCACUUGUUCUUUAAAUGCGGACUAGUAUGAAUGGCACUACGAGGGUUAUACUGUCUCCUUUUUCUAAUCAGUGAAACUAAUUUUCCCGUGAAGAAGCGGGGAUAUAACUAUAAGACGAGAAGACCCUAUGGAGCUUUAAACAACCCAGCAAUUACUUCUAAAAUUGUAAAUUUCAGAAUAUUCAUUUCUUAAGUAAUAUGUCUGCAAGUUUUUGGUUGGGGUGACCAUGGAGAAUAACAUAACCUCCAUAUUGAAUGAAUUCCCUUCUAAGCCGAAAAUUACCAAUUGAAGCAUCAACAUACUGACAUCUAUUGACCCAAUAUAUUUGAUCAACGAACCAAGUUACC
RNAcentral lists this ribosomal RNA (429 nucleotides) under Rhinella cf. gildae ABGD cluster 21. Its description in RNAcentral is "partial large subunit ribosomal RNA". It matches the Rfam family "Bacterial large subunit ribosomal RNA", at positions 1835 to 2467 of the family's 2925-position model. The record is from RNAcentral. Lineage: Eukaryota; Metazoa; Chordata; Amphibia; Anura; Bufonidae.